This 1194-nucleotide ribosomal RNA is filed under the name Halomonadaceae bacterium RP14. RNAcentral describes it as "bacterial SSU rRNA". It matches the Rfam family "Bacterial small subunit ribosomal RNA", at positions 48 to 1233 of the family's 1533-position model. The record is from RNAcentral. Lineage: Bacteria; Pseudomonadati; Pseudomonadota; Gammaproteobacteria; Oceanospirillales; Halomonadaceae.
UUAACACAUGCAAGUCGAGCGGCAGCACGGGGAGCUUGCUCCCUGGUGGCGAGCGGCGGACGGGUGAGUAAUGCAUAGGAAUCUGCCCGGUAGUGGGGGAUAACGUGGGGAAACCCACGCUAAUACCGCAUACGUCCUACGGGAGAAAGCGGAGGAUCUUCGGACUUCGCGCUAUCGGAUGAGCCUAUGUCGGAUUAGCUAGUUGGUAAGGUAACGGCUUACCAAGGCGACGAUCCGUAGCUGGUCUGAGAGGAUGAUCAGCCACACUGGGACUGAGACACGGCCCAGACUCCUACGGGAGGCAGCAGUGGGGAAUAUUGGACAAUGGGCGAAAGCCUGAUCCAGCCAUGCCGCGUGUGUGAAGAAGGCUUUCGGGUUGUAAAGCACUUUCAGCGAGGAAGAAAGCCUGGUGGUUAAUACCCAUCAGGAAGGACAUCACUCGCAGAAGAAGCACCGGCUAACUCCGUGCCAGCAGCCGCGGUAAUACGGAGGGUGCGAGCGUUAAUCGGAAUUACUGGGCGUAAAGCGCGCGUAGGUGGCUUGGCACGCCGGUUGUGAAAGCCCCGGGCUCAACCUGGGAACGGCAUCCGGAACGGCCAGGCUAGAGUGCAGGAGAGGAAGGUAGAAUUCCCGGUGUAGCGGUGAAAUGCGUAGAGAUCGGGAGGAAUACCAGUGGCGAAGGCGGCCUUCUGGCCUGACACUGACACUGAGGUGCGAAAGCGUGGGUAGCAAACAGGAUUAGAUACCCUGGUAGUCCACGCCGUAAACGAUGUCGACUAGCCGUUGGGACCUUUAAGGACUUAGUGGCGCAGUUAACGCGAUAAGUCGACCGCCUGGGGAGUACGGCCGCAAGGUUAAAACUCAAAUGAAUUGACGGGGGCCCGCACAAGCGGUGGAGCAUGUGGUUUAAUUCGAUGCAACGCGAAGAACCUUACCUACCCUUGACAUCCUGAGAACUUUCCAGAGAUGCAUUGGUGCCUUCGGGAACUCUGAGACAGGUGCUGCAUGGCUGUCGUCAGCUCGUGUUGUGAAAUGUUGGGUUAAGUCCCGUAACGAGCGCAACCCUUGUCCUUAUUUGCCAGCACGUAAUGGUGGGAACUCUAAGGAGACUGCCGGUGACAAACCGGAGGAAGGUGGGGACGACGUCAAGUCAUCAUGGCCCUUACGGGUAGGGCUACACACGUGCUACAAUGG